This 397-nucleotide long non-coding RNA is filed under the name Pan troglodytes (chimpanzee). RNAcentral's name for it is "long non-coding RNA NONPTRT013408". The record is from RNAcentral. Lineage: Eukaryota; Metazoa; Chordata; Mammalia; Primates; Hominidae.
UGUUUUUAAAAAUAGUUUUAUAAUCAUGUAAGUCAUUCUAGGAUCCUUAUGUUCUCUUUAUCCAAAACCAUAUUUAAAUAUCAAGACUUUUGUGCUUGUUUGGAUUUAGGGGAAAAAAUAAGUGGUUCACUUGUCUUAUCUGUCUACCUCAAAGUACUAAAAAUACUCAUUUUGAUCAUGUCGAUGGUUAUACAGCAACUGUAUAAGUCUCCAUCCUUCCUAUAAUACUCUCUCUAGGGCUAGAGAGUUAGAGGGAAGAAGUGGGGCACCACAUCUCAGCCAUGAGCCCUCAAACCAGGAGAGCCAGAUGUUCCAGCUCUGGGCAAAAACCCAGGAAGGCAAUCCACGCAUAGAAUCAAACACACCUAGAUUAGAAGUCAUUGGAUAUUAUGCCUCU